CGAGUUAUCAGAACCUUCGGGGGACGAUAACGGCGUCGAGCGGCGGACGGGUGAGUAAUGCCUAGGAAAUUGCCCUGAUGUGGGGGAUAACCAUUGGAAACGAUGGCUAAUACCGCAUGAUGCCUACGGGCCAAAGAGGGGGACCUUCGGGCCUCUCGCGUCAGGAUAUGCCUAGGUGGGAUUAGCUAGUUGGUGAGGUAAGGGCUCACCAAGGCGACGAUCCCUAGCUGGUCUGAGAGGAUGAUCAGCCACACUGGAACUGAGACACGGUCCAGACUCCUACGGGAGGCAGCAGUGGGGAAUAUUGCACAAUGGGCGCAAGCCUGAUGCAGCCAUGCCGCGUGUGUGAAGAAGGCCUUCGGGUUGUAAAGCACUUUCAGUCGUGAGGAAGGUAGUGUAGUUAAUAGCUGCAUUAUUUGACGUUAGCGACAGAAGAAGCACCGGCUAACUCCGUGCCAGCAGCCGCGGUAAUACGGAGGGUGCGAGCGUUAAUCGGAAUUACUGGGCGUAAAGCGCAUGCAGGUGGUUUGUUAAGUCAGAUGUGAAAGCCCGGGGCUCAACCUCGGAAUUGCAUUUGAAACUGGCAGACUAGAGUACUGUAGAGGGGGGUAGAAUUUCAGGUGUAGCGGUGAAAUGCGUAGAGAUCUGAAGGAAUACCGGUGGCGAAGGCGGCCCCCUGGACAGAUACUGACACUCAGAUGCGAAAGCGUGGGGAGCAAACAGGAUUAGAUACCCUGGUAGUCCACGCCGUAAACGAUGUCUACUUGGAGGUUGUGGCCUUGAGCCGUGGCUUUCGGAGCUAACGCGUUAAGUAGACCGCCUGGGGAGUACGGUCGCAAGAUUAAAACUCAAAUGAAUUGACGGGGGCCCGCACAAGCGGUGGAGCAUGUGGUUUAAUUCGAUGCAACGCGAAGAACCUUACCUACUCUUGACAUCCAGAGAACUUUCCAGAGAUGGAUUGGUGCCUUCGGGAACUCUGAGACAGGUGCUGCAUGGCUGUCGUCAGCUCGUGUUGUGAAAUGUUGGGUUAAGUCCCGCAACGAGCGCAACCCUUAUCCUUGUUUGCCAGCGAGUAAUGUCGGGAACUCCAGGGAGACUGCCGGUGAUAAACCGGAGGAAGGUGGGGACGACGUCAAGUCAUCAUGGCCCUUACGAGUAGGGCUACACACGUGCUACAAUGGCGCAUACAGAGGGCUGCCAACUUGCGAAAGUGAGCGAAUCCCAAAAAGUGCGUCGUAGUCCGGAUUGGAGUCUGCAACUCGACUCCAUGAAGUCGGAAUCGCUAGUAAUCGUGGAUCAGAAUGCCACGGUGAAUACGUUCCCGGGCCUUGUACACACCGCCCGUCACACCAUGGGAGUGGGCUGCAAAAGAAGUAGGUAGUUUAACCUUCG
This 1392-nucleotide ribosomal RNA is filed under the name Vibrio parahaemolyticus. Its description in RNAcentral is "bacterial SSU rRNA". It matches the Rfam family "Bacterial small subunit ribosomal RNA". The record is from RNAcentral. Lineage: Bacteria; Pseudomonadati; Pseudomonadota; Gammaproteobacteria; Vibrionales; Vibrionaceae.